UGCGUUGUAGUGUGUCCUCAGUGUAACCAGACUAACGAGGGCAGUUUAAAGUAUGCAGAAGGACCCUACCCCCCCUGCUGUAUGACAGCCAACAAUGCCACCAUUAAUGAACCUGUCAACGACUGCUUUGUACAUUAUGAACACACGUUUCCUCAUUGUCCAAUACAUGCAUACAUCCUUCGUACUAAGAAUGAUGACCGGUGUGUGGACCCAACAGCCUGGUGGCUCCAACAAAGACUCAAGAAGUUAGAGGCGAGAGGAAUAUGUUGCAAAAUCCUCUGAAUGGUCUUUGGCAGCCACAAGGAAGAUAAAGCAUCAUGAGCUCCUAUGCAGAAAUCUACAACAUAUUUUCUUUCUUUUCUUUUUUUUUAAUAAUUCAAAUUAAAUGAUCAAGUCGCUCUUUUACUAAAUACAUGUGCAGUUGUUAACAUUGUCUUUGUAGGAAUCUGUAUUGUCUUCAUAACCAGGUAUCUGAUUUGCUUUUUACAUGAGUACAUGACAAAGACUUAAGACUGGGAAAAUGUCUAUGUGCCAUGACCCAACCCAUCUAUGUGUGUCUCAGUGGCUGAUAUUUGUGUGGAUGUAUAUGAUUGGUUGCCUUUUAUAUUUUCAGUUCUUUUUCUGCUCCAUACCUACCCUAUUUAAAUGGUCUUUGUGUGUUUUUAUGAUCAAUCUGAUGAAGGCCUCAAGCCAAAAG
RNAcentral lists this long non-coding RNA (697 nucleotides) under Sander lucioperca (pikeperch). Its description in RNAcentral is "lncRNA (ENSSLUG00000023252.1)". The record is from RNAcentral. Lineage: Eukaryota; Metazoa; Chordata; Actinopteri; Perciformes; Percidae.